This 378-nucleotide unclassified non-coding RNA is filed under the name plant metagenome. RNAcentral's name for it is "partial contains 5.8S ribosomal RNA, internal transcribed spacer 2, and large subunit ribosomal RNA". The stretch from base 1 to 105 matches the Rfam family "5.8S ribosomal RNA", at positions 50 to 154 of the family's 154-position model. The record is from RNAcentral.
GACAUGCGAUAAGUAAUGUGAAUUCCAGAAUUCAGUGAAUCAUCGAAUCUUUGAACGCACCUUGCGCUCCUUGGUAUUCCUUGGAGCAUGCCUGUUUGAGUAUCAUGAAAUCUUCAAAGUAAAUCUUUUGUUAACUCAAUUGGUUUCUACUUUGGUAUUGGAGGUCUUUGCAGCUUCACACCUGCUCCUCUUUGUUCAUUAGCUGGAUCUCAGUGUUAUGCUUGGUUCCACUCGGCGUGAUAAGUUAUCUAUCGCUGAGGACACUGUAAAAGGUGGCCAAGGUAAAUGCAGAUGAACCGCUUCUAAUAGUCCAUUGACUUGGACAAUACUUUUAUGAUCUGAUCUCAAAUCAGGUAGGACUACCCGCUGAACUUAAGC